This 500-nucleotide ribosomal RNA is filed under the name uncultured bacterium. Its description in RNAcentral is "partial 16S ribosomal RNA". It matches the Rfam family "Bacterial small subunit ribosomal RNA", at positions 30 to 523 of the family's 1533-position model. The record is from RNAcentral.
AUUGAACGCUGGCGGCAUGCCUUACACAUGCAAGUCGAACGGCAGCACGGGAGCAAUCCUGGUGGCGAGUGGCGAACGGGUGAGUAAUAUAUCGGAACGUGCCCAGUCGUGGGGGAUAACGUAGCGAAAGCUACGCUAAUACCGCAUACGAUCUAUGGAUGAAAGCGGGGGAUCGCAAGACCUCGCGCGAUUGGAGCGGCCGAUAUCAGAUUAGGUAGUUGGUGAGGUAAAGGCUCACCAAGCCGACGAUCUGUAGCUGGUCUGAGAGGACGACCAGCCACACUGGGACUGAGACACGGCCCAGACUCCUACGGGAGGCAGCAGUGGGGAAUUUUGGACAAUGGGCGCAAGCCUGAUCCAGCAAUGCCGCGUGCAGGAUGAAGGCCUUCGGGUUGUAAACUGCUUUUGUACGGAACGAAACGGCGAGCUCUAAUACAGUUUGCUAAUGACGGUACCGUAAGAAUAAGCACCGGCUAACUACGUGCCAGCCGCCGCUGUAA